Non-coding RNA from Taeniopygia guttata (zebra finch), 1400 nucleotides. The record is from RefSeq and is a predicted model, not a curated record. Lineage: Eukaryota; Metazoa; Chordata; Aves; Passeriformes; Estrildidae.
UUACUGGUCCAUGCCUGAUGACUUCAUAAUCACACAUCAUUUCAUUCACUGGAGGAUACAAACCAGCAUUCUAAUAACCUUCCCCCGAAACCGGUCAUGUUGUGCAUAUUAAUAGAGUGCUGGGUAGAGCUCAACCAGCGGCUCCACACUGCAAUUCGAGCAGAGCCUGCAAGAAGGAAACAACCUGAAGCUAAGAACUUCUGCCUGAGGAAGGAGUCAGCUCAAACCAGAUCAAUGGCAACAUUAUUCAUUUUGCCAAAAUAAACUCUGCAUGAGGCUCGUACCUUUCACCAAGCGACCCUUGAACAACAGCAAGCAAGCAGAGAUAAAGGACAAAGCAGGAUGAAAAAUCAAUGAAAGAACGGUGCUGCUGGACCUGGUGAUAUGCAAGACAAAAUUCUGAAACAAACAGGAACACCGGGCAAGUUGAUGGCUAUGCUAUAGACUUGACAUCUCUUAAGAGCCAAAAAACUAACAGCUGGUGACAUUCCCAAUGGAAAGUGCUGGGAGGAGUUUGACAAAGAAUGUCAUCCAAAAUCAAAGUGGCUCAGUAAAGCUUACCCUUACCUGAAAACAGUAAGUAAGAUGGAGAACAAGGGGACAGCUCAUGUCUCCAGGUCCAUCUGAGCAUCUCUCUUCCCUUCCCUGUGCUAAAAUUCUGUCUGAGUGAAGCCAAAACCACAGGGAACUCUGGUGGGCAGCAUGAACCAGCCCCUAAACCUCUUCUAGUCCUCAAAUAAAACCAGCCGCUCAUUGACAAGGAUGGGAAAGCAAUGGGGCUUUGCUUGCACUUGUUUGUGCCAUAAUUACACAUCUAAAAGGCUCAGCUCAACACAUGGGAACUAGAACACAAUAGGGAUAAGAUUUAUCAAAGAAACUUCACAAGAAAGGGUAGUCCAAGAUGGCAAAAGGUGGUACUGCUUGUGAGCAGGGAAUUUCCGCAGACAGGAUGAAGUGCAGCAGAGGCACAUUCUAGUGAACUUCUGAGAAGAGUUUUUUAAAAGUGCAUGGCACAUGUAUCAGGGAUCUAAUUGCUACAUAAGUUAUAUAGGCUGAAAGGAUGUCAGGAUGUAUAUUAACAGAUUUUAAUCAGUUUGUUGAAAUCAGUGAAGGAAUCAUGCCAACAGUAAUAUGAAUUUUAAUCCAUAAAAAAUACAAUACAUAAUUCCUGAAGCAUUUUCUACAGCAAACGACUCCAAUGAAGAUUUAGUUAUAUUACAAUUCUUAACCCCCUAAUAUACAGAAGCAAAGUUAACAAUAAAAUAUUAAAUAUAAUUCAAAAGUAUGUAAUGUAUAAAUUAGGAAAUUUAUCUUGCAAAAAGUAGCUUUGAUUAAUUCAGUCGCUAAAAAUCAGACAAGCACCAGUGUUUGGAAAGAGAGCUAGAAAUUAAUGAACAAAA